AGUGAACGCUGGCGGUAGGCCUAACACAUGCAAGUCGAACGGCAGCACAGUAAGAGCUUGCUCUUACGGGUGGCGAGUGGCGGACGGGUGAGGGAUACAUCGGAAUCUACUUUUUCGUGGGGGAUAACGUAGGGAAACUUACGCUAAUACCGCAUACGACCUACGGGUGAAAGCAGGGGAUCUUCGGACCUUGCGCGAUUGAAUGAGCCGAUGUCGGAUUAGCUAGUUGGCGGGGUAAAGGCCCACCAAGGCGACGAUCCGUAGCUGGUCUGAGAGGAUGAUCAGCCACACUGGAACUGAGACACGGUCCAGACUCCUACGGGAGGCAGCAGUGGGGAAUAUUGGACAAUGGGCGCAAGCCUGAUCCAGCCAUACCGCGUGGGUGAAGAAGGCCUUCGAGUUGUAAAGCCCUUUUGUUGGGAAAGAAAAGCAGCAGGUUAAUACCCCGCUGUUCUGACGGUACCCAAAGAAUAAGCACCGGCUAACUUCGUG
Molecule: ribosomal RNA, 492 nt
Filed under: uncultured bacterium
Lineage: Bacteria
Description: partial 16S ribosomal RNA
Rfam family: Bacterial small subunit ribosomal RNA
Source: RNAcentral